This 718-nucleotide long non-coding RNA is filed under the name Homo sapiens (human). Its description in RNAcentral is "HSALNT0341655". The record is from RNAcentral. Lineage: Eukaryota; Metazoa; Chordata; Mammalia; Primates; Hominidae.
GUUCUGGAAUGCCAGGCUAAGAAGUACAGACUUUAUCCUAUAGGCCUGUGAUUCUCAACUAGGACCAAAGUUACAAAAUUGGAUGAAAACUUCCAGUGGAUACUGAAAAUACAACGAGUUAUGUGAGCACAUCUGUGUAGGAGGGGAAGAAGCAGUUCUCAUGAUCGUCUAGAAGACAAACCCUUGGACCACUGAAGAAUUCACCUGAAGAAUAAAUCUGUCUUACAGCAUUAAGUUUGUCUACAAUGUCUGCACAUGCAAUGGACAUUAGUGCCUAUUAAAUGCCAAGCACUAUAUUAAGCAAUGGGGAUACAGGGAUAAUUAAGUCCCAGUCUCUAGCCUGGGAGGCGUUCAGUCUGGGGAAGACAGAAAUGUAAAUAUUUAUGAAUCUAAUGAACUCAGUGCUACAGAAACACAGAAGUAUUUAACAUAUGAACAAAAAACCUACAGCCACCUAAAUGUUAAUGUCUUACUUUCAGUUUCAUCCUUUAAAAAUCCUUUUUCCAAGUUAAAUAUCAAAUAUUGAUGGAAAAAAGUUAAUAUAUUUUGAAAGUAAAUAAAGUAAAACAUUCUUGAGAAUGCUUAAAGUAAAUUUUUAGUUUACUGUCUCAGUGAACCAUGUCUGGAGAGUUACUUAAAAGUUCACUUCCACUUCUGAAGUUAGUUGAUGUAAAUAUGUUUAGGUGAAUACUCAUCAAAGGAUGGAUAAGAAAACCAU